AGCAGCCGCGGUAAUUCCAGCUCCAAUAGCGUAUAUUAAAGUUGUUGCAGUUAAAAAGCUCGUAGUUGAAUUUCGGGAUCAAUAUAUUGGUCGUGCCUUCGGUAUGCACUGGUAUUAUUGAUUUCUACCUUCUGACGAACCAUGAUGUCAUUAAUUUGGUGUCAUGGGGAAUCAGGACUGUUACUUUGAAAAAAUUAGAGUGUUUAAAGCAGGCACACGCUUGAAUACAUUAGCAUGGAAUAAUGAAAUAGGACGUUUGAUCUUAUUUUGUUGGUUUCUAGGAUCGACGUAAUGAUUAAUAGGGAUAGUUGGGGGCAUUAGUAUUCAAUUGUCAGAGGUGAAAUUCUUGGAUUUAUUGAAGACUAACUACUGCGAAAGCAUUUGCCAAGGAUGUUUUCAUUAAUCAAGAACGAAAGUUAGGGGAUCGAAGACGAUCAGAUACCGUCGUAG
RNAcentral lists this ribosomal RNA (450 nucleotides) under uncultured Glomus. RNAcentral describes it as "SSU rRNA". It matches the Rfam family "Eukaryotic small subunit ribosomal RNA", at positions 569 to 1023 of the family's 1831-position model. Lineage: Eukaryota; Fungi; Glomeromycota; Glomeromycetes; Glomerales; Glomeraceae. The record is from RNAcentral.